AAAUAAAAUUAAAUUGAUUUACAUAAAAAAAUUAAAAGAAAAGCGGAUAGUGAAUGAUAUAUAACAUAACAACAAAAGGAAUAGCUUAAUAUAUACUGAUAAUAAUCAUAAGUCUCCAAAAUAACAAACAUAAAUCAAAUCAUAUCAUCACAUCUCCGUGAGCUACAAAGCAUAACUGAUAACUCUCUCUCAUUAUAAAAUUUAUAUGUAAUAAGACUCACUCCCUAAAAGACUAAAAACCCAGUGGAUCCGCCGCUACUAAGCCCACAUAACGUCUAAACAACGCAAAAAAAGAAAAAAAAAUGAAGAAACCACUCUACACACCCAAUAAGCUAGUGACACGUAAUCAGAUAGAGAACCGGCCUCUUAAACCCUGAGAACUGAGCCGAACACCAGAGCGGAAAGGAGAGCGACACCAGCGGCGGCUAAGGAAGGCGAGAUCGAGCCGGCUCCGGAAGCGGGAGCUGGAGCGGGAGAGAGAUCUUGAGCCGACCCUGCGAGAACCAAGGCGGCCAGGACAACGGCCAUCAUCAGCGUAGCCAUUGAAGCCUUUGAGAAUGCCAUUAUUGAAGCCUUUUUUUCUCAGGGUUUUUGAGAGCGUAACCGAAGGAAGCUGAGAGAGAUUCUUUUUCCUGUGUCUGUAUGUGGGAAGUGUUAGUAUUUAAGACAUGAGAAGAAAAUAGUGAGGUUUAUUUAUAGACUGAAAAGUGUGGACGGGAAGAGAGAAUUUCGGGCAGCGGCCCGGAUUUUUCCAGUCUGUCUAUUGGUUUCUUGACAGCUAUGUUUAUUUGUGGGGCCCAGUUAAUUAUAAUUUCACGCGACCGUUUAGGGUAUCGAACGGCGAAGCGACGUCGUGUCGGUUCACGAGUGUGACUUACGCCGAGGAAAUAAUUGAUUCUUUGGGAUUGGGAAAAAUUUGAGCAAAGUAAAAUUACGGAAACAGCAGCGAAUUAUAAUAUCGCAGUCUGUGAUAAACUUGAUAACUAUCUACUUGAAUUGAUAGGACAUAUAAAAAGAACAUUGUAUUAUUUAAAGGAUUGAAUAAUUUAAUUGAUAAAAAUCUCUUACCGCUAAGUUUGGAGAUCCAUUUGCACUCAAAUUUGGUGGAGGAAAAUUUUGAUUUCAGUUGUGUUAUGUUAUUAACAAAAAUUAUUGUUCAAAAAAUGCCUUUUUGUAGCUGCAAUAAAUGAGAAAAUUUUAAAGUACUUUUUUUUUAUUAUUUAUAUAAAUUGAACGAAAUCUUGGUGUGAUUAUUUUGUAAAUUCUCGAGAACUUUUGGGGUGGGGUGGGGGAUUUUGUGUAUGAAUGUAUGAUGAGUUCAUUGAAGAGGCGAAUGUUUAAUGGUGGGAUUGAUGAUUAGGGAUCAGUGAUGGUGCAGUUGAUUCCGCUACAAAGAUUUUUGUAAGCGCCCACAGACAGCCCACGUGGGAUGCGGUGGCUCGACCAUUAGGAGGAGGACGCGUGGAGACGUGGAAGGGCACGGGCUUUUUUAAUAUUCGAAUUUUGAAUUUGAAUAAUCGGAUGUGGACCUGUGGACAGUAUGAAAUGAUCGUGAAUUUUGUGGGUUUCCAGAACUUUCCGUUUGGCGUGUGCGACUGUGUGUUCAUUGGCAGGCACAUGUAGGAGUGUUACGAAGUUUACGCGUUAAACGUAUGCGGAAAGAAAAUGGUUUAACUUUGGGUAAAUGUUUAAAAAAGGAAAUUUCAAUCAACGCUUCUUCUUCUUCUUCUUUUUUUUUUUUUUAUUCCAUAAAAGAAGAUCUUUAAUUUCUGUAAUUAUAUCAUAAUUGAGUCCAAGAAGAUCUGGCUGCAUUGUUGUAAUUUUAUUUAGUUAACCAUAUAAAUUUGAGUCCCGAAGUUAAAAACUUAAUUUUAAUUUUAACUGCUCUUCCAUCUUCUUUUUGUUUUUGUUUUUGUUUUUAAAUGAUCAUGAAACACCUCUUCUCAUUAAUUAAUGUAGAAAAAAAAAGGUUUCAACCACUCCUACGUAUAUUAGCAUGAUUUCUUUUUUAAAUAUUAUUUGAUUGGUAUCAUUGCAAAGUUAAUUUAGAUUCAGUAGUUUAUUUUGGCUAAAACAUCAUAUAUUUAAGAUGCAUCAUCAGAAAAUUGAUUUAGAGUCACCUAAUUUUGAGCUCAAAUAUUAUAUAUUUGCACUCACAAUCAUAUAAUUGGUUUAGAUUUAAUCUGUUUUAAGCUCAAAUAUGUAGCUAUCACAUAAAUAAUUUAGAAUGUUACAAUAUUCUAAGGGCGUGGUCGGGUUAAUUAUAGUGCAGUUGUAGCCUCUACCAAAAUCCGGGUUCGAUUCUUAGAGAUCAAGAUUAUGUUUAGGCUCGCCCACCUCCUCUUACUUUAAAAAAAAAAAAUUUAGAAGGUUACUAAUAUUUUUUUAAUUAUAAAUAUCAAUAUAUAUUGUAAUGUAAUAUUCUUUUUUUUUUUAAAAAAAAAAGGUCAGGUAGAAUUGAUCUCCCUCAUACCAAAUUUUGUAAAAAAUAAUUUAGGUUAUGCCGAUUCAUAAGAUGAGGGGUUCAUAUAGUUUAGUUCAGUUGAUAAUUUUUUUUUUUUGGUUGAAAAAAGAGAUAUGAGAUUUAAAAUCAGUUUAGGUGAGCAAGGACGGUUUUGGGUUGUCACCGAGCUAAAUUAAAAAGGAUUAAUGAGAUGAGACGAGUGGUUUGUUAAAAAGAAUAGUGCCACAUAUUAUAAAGUUUGUGUCAAAAAAAUUCAUCCUAUAAAAGAAGAGACACUCCUAAUAGGCAUGAAAAAAAAUACAAUAAAUCGUUUUAAAACAUAACUGUGACUAGAACAUCCCCUUGUGAAGAUAUAUUUUUUAUUUUUUUAAAAAAAAUUAUUUAAAUAUCUCUAAUGUUCAUGCAACAAAUACGAUGAAUAGUCACAAGGGCAGUCUAGAAAAAGGCAUUUACAAAUACACGGCGGGCCAACAAAGAAUCAUUCACCUUCUAAUCCUUCGAUGUCUGCUUGCAACUCAACUAAACUAACAGCAUUCCAAAAUCAGCAAGAAAACGAUUUAAGAACUUAUUUUGGAAUGCUAUUAGUUUUUAAGGAUUAAUGAGAUGAGAUGAGUGGUUUAUUAAAAAGAGUAGUACCACCUACUGUAAAGUUUAUGUCAAAAAAAUCCAUCCAAUAAAAGAAGAGACACUCGUAAUAUGCAUUAAAAAAAAACACACAAUAAAUCAUUUUAAAACAUAACGUGAAUCAAACAUCACCUUAUGAAGAUAUAUAUAUUUAAAUAUCUCAAAUGUUCAUGCAACAAAUGCGAUGAAUAGUCACGAGGGCGGUCGAGAAAAUGCGUUGACAAUUACACGACCGGCCAACAAAAAAAUCAUUCACCUUCUAAUCCUUCAGUGUCUGCUUGCAACUCAACUAAACUGAUAGCAAUUAGCAUACCAAAAUAAGCCAAAAAAAAAAAAAAAAAAGAUUUAAGAAUCUUAUUAUUUUACUCGUUAAUAUUGCUAAGCAUAUGGCAGCCCUGGGCGGCUGUGGAGUGCAGCCUGGCGUUGGAUUUGCUCACAGACAGGACCUGUAAGGCUGAAACAACACGGCAGCAACAAAGAAAGUAGUUUUAUUUACGUAAUACAAUUUUUUAUACCUUUAUUUUUUAUCUGCAUGAUUUAGUUCUUACACAGACGUGCUAACGAGAAUCAUCCAGUAGCUGGUGUCACUUGUCAACUACUCCUUAACUUAAAGAGCAUAUUUGGGAUUGUCAAGUAUUCCCAAAUUAGUGAUUAUUUGAGAAUUUGUUAUCACAUAUGGUUGGUUCGAGUUAUUCUCUCAGACAUAUCACACCAAUAAUCAUCAAAUAAGUGAGAAUCAAACAAAAUUUGAAAGCAAAUUCUCAAGUAAUUGGUUAGAUUGUAUGAAAAUUUGACUUGUGAAUAUCAAGUAACCUCAGAAUUAGAAUGACUGUAAUGUAUACAUUGGCAUUUACUAUUUACUAAUCACCAAUCAUAGCUUUCUAUUUGGCUCAAUGGCUGAGUGCAAAUCCAGAUGAGCAUGAAAUUCAAAUCAACUCAAAAACCGUUAGAGAAAACAAAAUAUCUUUGAAGUAGUUAUCACUUCAUUAUUAUCAGUAGGAUGAAAAUGAUCGAAGUUAAAAACGUCCAAAAUUAUUAAAUUCAUUUAUCUAACCUGAAUAAUGGACACAUAUACCACGUUGGCUGUCAUUCCUCUGUACAUACAAGAAUCUCACUGUAUCAUCAAAGAGGCUAAUCCUAUGUAACAGUCCUCUCAAUUCGUAUUAUGCAACACGUCUAUCCGAAAAGCUCCUAAUCAUCUUUCUUCCUCGGCUAUUACCAUUCAUUCAAAAGUCAACUCAAAAGGUAGACAAAUUUAUUUGUUAAAAGCCCAAAACUUUAGAUGAUAUAUUCAUCAGAGGUUGUAAAGCACUCGGUGCAAAUUUUCUUCCAAAGAGAAAGCAAACUGUAGAGGGCUGGUUAUUGUAUUUGCAAUGCUGACCUCCAUAAACUUUCUUGAAAAACUCCUCUGUUAUGUCGGCUCUUCCGAAUGUGGCUGGAUGAGCACCACCUCUCGACCAAUCAACCCAAGUGCUGCUUCUAUUUGCCAAGAGAUUUGGCAUUUGAAUAGAUAGCAUGGUGGGAAAAUAGUGUUCGUCCACAUAACAAGGUGGUCUACAGAAUUCCGCGAAUUUUGGAUAAUAUGUAGUAUCUUCCACAAUGUUGACUGCAAGCCUUCGGUUGAUUUCAAACCAUUGGGAUCCUUUGCGCCACUGGGUAAUGUUCACCACAGGUGCCAUGUUCGCAUUGUAGCGUCCUCUCCCAUAUGGUCCAGGGUCAUCAAAUGAACCCAUGAAACUAUGUUUGGAUUUCUUUAUGUAAUGGUAGAUGAGGGAGAAAUUAUAAAGAGGAAUGCAAGACUCAGAGACAAGAAUGAACCAUUCAUUGGAGAUAUCAAGCAAUGCAUUAGCAAGGAGUCUUCUCUCAGCAUCGCACAUGCUCAUUUUUCCCCAUUCAGAGAUCUGCAAAGGGAAGAUACAGAAGACAUUACAAUCUCCUCUAAAUUUUGGGAAAUAUUGUAUUCAAAGCUAUGUGCUAAAGUAAAUAGAAUAAGCAGAUAAAGCAUAACCAUCAAAGGCUUUCAGAAGAAUGCAAGACAGUUCCACUACCAAACACUUCACCUAGAACAUGUAAUGAUAACAUUUGGUAAAGGUAAUCAUAAAACCUGUUAUUUUCCAGGAUCAAAGGGUAUCAAGUAUCAAUUUUACAUUUGGGACAGGAUUAUGGUAGCUGCUUGUUGUUGAAAUGGCACUGUAGCAGAGCUAACCAAAUCAGAUCUCCAUUUCUUGGAGGAUUUGUAUCCUGUUCCAGUUACUACAAGGGGGCAACUCAAGAACAUACAUGUCUUCCUACUUGUCCAAUACAAAAACGUAGGGAGAAAAAAAAAAUCAAAUAAAACGCACUUCGUCGAGCCAAUAUACAUACAGACAGCUCAACCCUCCCCCUUGGUGUUUUGGGAUCCAAAAUUUUUCACCUCCACACGAUAUAUGGCAGUGGUUACCAGCCUUAGAUAAACUUACACUGUUGCAGUUCCCAACUUUCAAAAUUCAACCCAAAAAAUGACCGACUCUUAUUGUUGAUCAUUCACUCAAACCCAGUUUUGCUGGUGAAAGUUAUAAUGUAUGCCAUCAAAUUAAUUAGAAAAUGUUUGCCAAGUAACAUUCAAGAAUGCCACCAUGUCAUCUAUGGAUUGUCCGCUCCUGCUAGAUUCCUCGCAAUUUCUCAUGGACUCCAAUAAUCCGUAAGGCAAUCAGGGGAAAAAAAAAGGAGCAAAAUUUUAACUUGGCUAAGCAAAAACAGAAUAUAUUUAGUUUAUAAACAGAAUCUGUUAAUCAGCAUAUUCCUAUUCAACAGAGUAUUUCUAGACUUUGAUCGUGAAUCACCAUGCAUAUAAAAGUGAUGAUGCUAAAUGGGAACACUACUUUCUACUUUCAAACACCAAGAGCCUACAGAUGACUGAGAGGUCCUAAGAACUGAAGAUUGUUAAACAAAAUUCGGAAAGCUAUGCAAGCAUGCUAACACUAUAUAGAUCCUCAAAAGAAUAAUUCACAUUAUAGGUAAAAAAUAAAGUACUGCUCAUCAUCACUCAAGAGAAGAAGAUCAUAACUUACAUCGUCAUAUAAUCAAUAGUACAACAAAGAUGAUCAGAUGAAGUUUCCACCAGAAUUUUAAAUGAAUAAAUAAAACCUGCAAUAGAUAGAUAUAAUGUCAGGCAUACCUGACUUGGGAUUUGUCUGUUGUAAAAAACUGAUGAAGAUGGAAACUUGUUCUCGAAUGUUGGCAGAGAAUGAACAUAGAUAGAAUAUAGCCCUUCAUGCCCCUUGAAAAACUUCUCCCAAAGAGGUCCAAGAGGUAAUGGCCCCUUCGUCAAGAACAUAAAUGCAAUCUUUGGAACUCUCUUAAAGGGAUACUCCUUCACUCGAGGCACAAAUGAGGCCCUCCAAAAAAGCUCCUUAUCACUCAUUGUGUGCAUUAAAUUUGAUGGAGGAUUUAUCCAAUAAUCCAAACCAUUCGGUAGUUCAGGGCAUGCCACAAAACUGGACUUAACCGUUGUCACAACACUCUGGACUCCAAACCGACGAACUGAGUAUAUACUAAUCAACGAAAAGGCUAUACACAGAGCCAGAAACAAACCAAAUAACUGAAAUAAUCUCAGUGGCAAGGCCCUAAAUUGAUUUGUCUUGUUAACAACUGCAGGGUCUUUGCCUUCCUCUAGCGGAACAACCCUUGCUUGCAUCUUUAUAACUCUAAAUCAAAUCAAAAUUUCACCUUCUGCGUCAGAUCCAAAUCAACAUCCUAGCAUCAAAAGCACUACUAAGCCUCAAAAUACCAGCUAAUUUAUUCACCAGAGCUAGCAAAAAAAACAGCUUUUUUUAAAUAUUUGAAAUUUGUGGAAUUCAAUAUGUUUCAGCAAAACAACCCCACUUAGCAACAGUAACGAAAUUAGAUCUAGAGCUGACACUACAGUACUCAAAAAGCAAGUAUUAACAGAUAUAGCACAAUCAUCAGCUUUCACAGCACAUGGGUUUCUUGAAUAAGAAGCUCUUAGCAAAAAUCAAAAGUCCAGAUCGGACUACUUGAUAGUCUAUAGAUCAAACGAAACCAUUAACGUGAUUGGUGGGGUGAUGAAAAACAGUACACGAUGGUGAACGUUCAACAUACCAUGUAAAUUUGUUGGGGCUAUAUGAGGAAACAAAGUUUGAAGCUUUAGCUCGAAUUGCGCCACCAAAGAAGAGAAACAGAACGGUCAAAUAAAUGAACAAAGUUAGGCAAAGAAAAUAAGAGGAGAAAAAGAGAAAAGUCCUUGGGACGCCCAAAGAGAGAGAGAAAAGGAGGUCCAAGAAAGUGGGGAAUCAAGGAAAUUUUGAGUGUGUGUGUAUGUAUGUAUAUAUAUAUAUAUAUAUAUAUAUAUAUAUAUAUAUAUAUAUAUAUAUAUAUAUAUAUAUGGGACUUUGAAUUUGAGGAAAUCACAGAAUUGUAAUUAGGUGAAUUGUGAAAUGUGGAGAAUUCAAAGAAUGUUUUUUGAUUUAACACGUACAGUGGAAGUGUCUGCUUCGUCUUUUGUGGGUUAGCCGUCACCAUGUGAGAGGCGGUUUUUGCAAGGUAAUAAUACGGCAAUGUCUUGCUGUCAUUUUGUAACGUUUUGGAAAACAAAUUUACCCUGAUUCAUUUGCCUUGAUAGAUCCUUUUUUUUUUUUAACCUUUUUUUUUAUAACUUGAAAUAGAAUGAAAUUAGUCAAAAUUUAAAUUUGAAUGAUAUGUAAAUUUUUUUAAAAUUUUUAAAAAUAAAUAUUAAAUUAUUUGUUUUUUAAUUUUAAAAAACUGACAGCCUAUACUUUUACAUUUUUACCCUUACUAAAUUUAAAUGUUGAAUAAAUAAUAUAUUUUUAAAAGAACUUAAAUAUGAUAAUAACAUUAUCUUUUUUUUUAAAAAAGGAUAAUAACAUUAUCUAAAUCAUCUUCAAGUAAAUGAUUUAUGAAAUCAUUCACUUGGCAUAGGGUUGUUCUAACUUAACCAAUGUUUUUUAUUCGAAUCUUGAAAAUGCAGUUGCGUUAAAUACUUAUUGGAAGAGCUUUGACGCCCUAGUGGUCUUACCCAGCUCGAAUUUGAAUUAGUCGAGACCUAAUGUAGUUUCGGAUACCAAAUAGUUUAAUACACGAAAAAAAAAAUUUAUAAAAUUAUAAUAUAAAAAGUUCUUUAAAAUUAUCACAAGUUCACAAUGCUAGUGCGUAAUAUAAGAAAAAACUAACAAGAUACUUGGGAAGUAAAAAAAAAGAAAGAAAAAACUGAACAAAAAUUCUACAAGAAAAGACUGUCAAUGGAAUCAAUUAUGGACUAUCAAAGGCCAUAAAGGAGAUUCAAGAAAUCCUUCGCGUGAAUGUUGUGUCUCAUCAUGAAAAGUAUCUUGCCUUGCCAUCUAUGGUAGGGAAAAACAAAAGACAAUUCUUCAAGUCGAUCAAGCUUCGAGUGCUCAACAAAUUAAAAGGAUGGAAGGCCAGGCUCUUCUCAAGCGGUGGGAAGGAAGUAUUGUUAAAGGCUGUCAUUCAAGCCACUCCUGUUUAUGCUAUGGGCGUUUUCAAGUUGCCAAAAUGCUUAUGCGAGGACCUACAGCGUUGCAUCACAAAUUGUUGGUCGGCCAACUAUGAUGACUCUAAAUGCAUUCACUGGCUUUCUUGGAAGAAUCUUUGCAAGCCAAGGAAGGACGGGGGGCAUGAGAUUUAGAUAUUUAGGUCCUGUUUGUGAUUGAAGUAUGCUGUUAAAAAAAAUUAUAGUUAUAUUAUAAAAAUUAAUAAUAUGUAGUAAAUAUAAAUUUUAAAUAAUAAUUUUGACAAAAUUAUUAAAGAUAUAAUAGAUUUUAUAUUAUACAAGUGAAAAAUCAUAUCAAUCUAAUUUUUAACUUAUAGCAGUUAGUAUUUACUGAACACUUUAGUGCUGUAGCUUAACCUCAAUCUCAAACGCGCUCUUAAGUUCCUUUAAUUAAGCGCUCUUGGCCAAGCAAUGUUGGGGAAUACUACAAGCACCUGAGUCUCUUUUGGCCAAAGUUCUUAAAGCUAGGUACUUUUCCAACACAAACUUCCUAAGUAGCAAAAUCAAAAGCGGCUCAUCUUUUGUAUGGAAGAGUACUCUAUGGGGCCGUGAAGCUAUCAACACUGGCUCAAGAUGGAGGGUUGGCGCUGGUAGGAGCAUAUUUAUUUAUAGAGAUAAUUGGAUGCCAAGUCCAUUAUCUUUUAAACCUAUAUCCCUGAAGACAUGCAUUGCCGAGUGAUUCUAAAGUUUCAGACCUGUUAAUAAAUGGUAACGAAUGGAAUGAGCAGCUAAUAAAGUAAUUCUUAAAAGGAGUCCCCUUGCCACGAGUCCCUACUAAUGACAUUUUAGUGUGGCGUUAUGAAAAAAAGGAGGAUUUUACACAGUUAAGAGUGGUUAUCAAGUGUCCCUUAUUCUCACUCAUCCUAAUUCCCCUUCAAGUUCAUUUGGCUCCGCUAAUUGGUGGUAUCCCUCUUGGCUUUUAACCAUUCCAUCUAAAGUCAAGAUCUUUUUCUGAAGAGCUCUACGCAAUAUACUCCCUACAUCAAAUAAUCUUUUUCAACGAAGGGUAGUGGAUUCCCCACAUUGUCAACGAUGUUACAGUGCUGUUGAGGACACCUUUCAUGUGCUAGUUAGCUGUAAGUUUGCGAUGAAGGUGUGGAAGUUGUCAACUAUGGCUGCUCACGUCACGAAUAGCCCUAAUAUGGAUUUUGCAUUUUUUUUGCUAAGAAUUUGGAAUCUUCGCUGUCAAAAGAGGACUACUAAUCUUUUGUGAUGAUUGCAUGGUCUAUUUGGCACUCUAGGAACAUAGCGCUCUAUCAACAUCAGAUGAUGGAUCCACAAAAUAUUCUUUGUGGCUGAAGCUGUUUUGAAUUCGACACUGCUACUCAAGGCUCCCCAAUUCAAGAGCUAUCGGUCUGUCCAACCGAGACGGAUGUUGGUUGGAUUCCACCAGAGACUCAUUGGUACAAAAUGAACGUUGAUGCAAACACUGACAUCUCUAAUGGAAUUACAAGUUUGGGUGCAAUAAAAAGAAAUUCCAAGGGAGAUUUCAUGGCUGCCUCAGCUCGCAAGAAAUCUUUUCUUGGUGACGUUGAGAUUACAGAUGCUGAGGUUGUCCUACAAUGCAUCAAGCUGGCGACAGAUUCGGACUUCUCUCCCUUGAUUGUCGAAUCUGACUCGGCAAAUGUUGUUCUUGUUGCAAAAAUAGUAUAUCGAUAUGCUACUUCGAUGGCACAUUUUGAGUGGGUUCCACGUAGCGAAUGUGGAAAAUCUUGUGAGGUUUGGAUUCUACUCCAUGAAAACUUCGAAAGUGUAUAUUUAUGUACUUAAAAUGGUGCUUGGCUGAAUGACAAAUUGUCUCUCAAAGUGCACUCUUGAAGUUGAAAAUUUGAAAGGAAAUGAGUUUUAUCCCACAAGGGAAAAUAAGUCAAGGGAUUUGUGUUUAUAUAUACACUUACCCAUGCAUGAGUAAGAAUUAUAAGGAUAGAGGUUUUCUCCACACGCGCAUGCGCCGGGGGAGGGGGUGUUGUAAAUUCUAGACUUAUUUGGUUAAAUUUGUGUGCGUCCGUGCGUCCUGCGCACGCGAAUAUCAGUCCAAAAUCACCCAAACUUGCAUGUCAAACAAGUUUUUAGAAAUUGUAAUACGCCCAUUAAUUAGCGAAAUUGACACUCUCUGUUAUUAACGAUCUUUGUUUGGUUGGAAGACCCUCUCGCAGACAUUGUGGUACACAUGUAAACUUUGUAUUUGUCCAGCAAGGAAAUGUUUUAAAAAAAAUAAAAAUUGUCGACUAUCAAAGGAACCGAUUCACUCUUAAACUUACAGUACACAAUAUUACAUGCCAAAUUAUGACUAAUUAUGCCUAAUGCAUUAAUAUCCUUUCACAACGGUGAAAUCUGAAGGCCCAAAAAUAUUGUCACUUGUUCAAGCCAAAAUAUUGAGGCCAGAUAAGCACCCUAAGGUCAAUAAAUAAUUAACGAAAUCAUACUAGCUUUCUAAUAAAAUCUAUCGAAAGUAAUAUAAAUUGAAAAAUGAUGGAGCACUUUUUAACCCUAAAGGCCUAAACUCAAAUUCACACCUUUAAGAAUGAAUUAAAAUCUAAUUAAAAAAAAGAUUUUAUAAAAAAAGAUUAUAUAAGGAUGAGUUUAUUAGUUGUACAUGGGUGACUUUUUUGAUAAAUAUAGAAAAUAAAUAAUUAAAUAGAGAUAUUUUUGACAUUAGAAUUUUAGUCGGUUUAUGCAGAAUUUUUAAUUUAGUAAAACGUAAAAAAAGAGGCUUAUUUUAUUCCAUCAAAAUUAUCUAAAAACCUCAUUAAAUCAUAAAAAUAACCAUCUUUAAUUGACUUAAUUAAUUAAGUUGUCAUUUAAUUAGAAAAAGAUACACCCCUUAGUUUUUAAUUCAAUUCGUAAUUAAACAGGAUACGUCUCUGUCAUUUGUGCACAAUUAAUAACAAUGCUUAUCCAGAAUCCUUUUAAUCGGCCUUUAAAUUGAAUAAGAAGAUGUUUGGAAGAAUUUUUUUAUCUCUAUCAUAAAUUGUGAGCAAGAAGAGAGGGCAUAUAACAACUAAGAGAAAAUAAGUACAAAGCACGAAAACCAGCUCUGCACUUUUUUCUAGUUCUUUCAGAUUCUGCACUCCGUUUAUUCCCCUCCCAUGUCAUGAAGAGAUGGGUCUUUUUCUCUUCUUCUUUUUUUUUUUUUUCCUAAUAUAAUUUCUAAAAGAAUUUAUGAACAAACAGGUAUUUAUAUGCACAAUUAAUCACGAGUCGCACAAACCAGUGAUUCCUGGCCACGAUCGUGCGAUAUUACGACAUUGCUGAUUUUUUUUCUUUUCUUUUCGUUGUGAGUAAUUAACAUAUAGGGCCCACCAACCACUGCAUCCCGAGAUUGCGUGCCAAAAUCAUGUAAAUUGAUUUUGGAAGUUUCGGAGCUAAGUACGCGUAGCAUUAUUACUGGAGAACAUUCAGCCUUCAAUGCUACGAGAAUUCUCGGGUUGUUGCACAUUGAUUUUGGAAGGUUGGUGCGCAGAAUGCCAUAGAAAAAGCUCACGCAACUCAGGUAAUUAUUUUUCCACGUGGCAGCUACAUGGAAAAUGAACGGGCACAGACUCCUAAAGUGCCACUAAAAUACAGUCGUAAUAGAUUAUACAAGCAAACGAAAGUUUUAAGAAAAAUGAAGUAUCAUUUCCGCAGCCCCUGCACAGAUUAGGGGAACUGCAAAGACAUGCUUUGACAAGAACAAAUCUCGAUUUCAAUCAUUCAGAAUAUUGACAUGCUGCACAAGAAAUUGAAUUCAUAUAUUUUCUGACCAAUGGUGAGUUGCAUCCCAUGGAUGCACUCCAUCAGCAGAACUGUCAACACACCAUGAUAUUUGUAUCCAGAAGACAAACUUUCCUAAAAAACACAACAUCAUUUAGCGAGCCAUUAAUCAGUUGACUGCUGUUAUGACAGCACUUUAUGCACGUAAUCAGAAGUAGACAUAUUUCGUCAAGCAACUCCCAUACAUUGCAUACUACAUGUAAUCCAGUCAAAUGUUUCUACCUCAUUCACAAGGAACAGUUAGGGCGUAUGUACCAAGAGAAGAGCUUUACUUCAGUGCUUCACCACUUCAAACUUGAAGCGGAGGUUGGAAAUCAUAACCGGGCACUCUCCUUUCUCAUCGUACUCGGCAUAGUCCCCUCCUGACAAGUCAAUGUCUUCAUACUGAGUCCCAGCAAGCUACACAAACAACUUACAGUUAGUUCGACAAAGCAAAACCAGAACAAAUAGAAUUUCUUUUUUUGGGGUCAUAGAGAAUUUUUCCUCAUAUUAAUCUCAGAUUAACGAGAUUAAUUUGACUCAUCAUCAUCGCACAAAUAAAAGAUGGCUUUAGUAACAACAAAUGUCUAUGAGGAUAGAAGCAAAAUGUGCAACAAGAAAAAGCAUCAACAGUAAUUAGAAGAAGAUAUAUUGAUGAUGAAUCUUCUUAGCUGCGGCAAAACAUUAACCCAAAAAGUACCAAGUGCAUUUACAGCUGUCUGCAUGGGAAUGAGAUAGUUAGGAGCACAGUAGAAAAAGAGGAGAAACAUGUGUAAUGCAUUCGCCUGUUCUUAUCGAAUGAAUGCAAGUUACACUUCAUCCAGCUCAUCUUUAAUACAGUUAGUAAGCAAAUAGAAUCUUCAAACAAGGUUUCCAUUCCAAAGUCUGCCCACCCUUCGCCAUUCAAGUCAAGAGUAAGCCGAUAGGAGACUGAGAGAGCAAAAAUCUAUUGUCAUGCUCUCCACCUAAAUAGAGAGGCAGAAACCAUAAAGGCUAAACUAGAGCAAAUAAUCAAACAAUAUGCUAACACAUUAAAGAAAAAGCUGGAAAGAAUUUGUAAACUAAAGAGCUCAAUGUUGAAAAUAUUCACAACCGUGAAAUGCAUAAAAAAGGAUAAGAUGUAUCUUAAAUGAAGAUGGUCAUGCAUAAUCAUAAAUACGAACACUCAACUUGCGCUCUGAUAACACAAUGCAGUGCUCACAAGUCAUUUCCAUCCACCACUUGAAAUAUGUCUAAUGUUUAGUGUUCAAAAACUAUGGGGAAAGGGCAAGAAUAGAAACUUACAGAUUCAACUUUCCAUCCAACACCAAAGACGAAAUCCACAGGCUCAUAACCCCUGCAGUCGAAUAACAUCAAGGGGCUAAAACCCCCAGAUUGAGCAGCUUCCUGGGUCAGUGGUUUACCCCGGCCUGGGAUCAUAGUAACAGUUCCUUCUCUCCCACAAAAUUUGCACUGUGAAGAAAGAUAUGGAGCCAGAAAAUCACCAACAACCAGAACACAGUCAUUUUAUAAAUAGAGUGAAAAAGUUUCAUCUGUAAUAUGUCACAGCAACACUUGAAAAUACAGACAAUAUGUCACGGUCAUUUAUACUACAAGUCUCUAACAGAUUAAUCUACCCAAGAAACUUGAAAAUAUGCAAGAAAUCCAUAGUACCAGAUCCUCAUUCCCACACCUUCAAAGUAAUUACUCAAGCUCAACCAAAGAAACUUAAUAAUUCUUUUUCCAUUCUAAAUCCAAGGCAUCAAAAAGCAUAUAUAGGUCAUUGAACAGAAAAAAAAUACAAUUUAUACUAGAAGUCCCAAGAAAAACUAUAUCUUGAAAGCUUGUCGCAUGCAAGCAAUUUUUACAAGAUAUCAAAAGAGCUGAAGAAUUACAUUCAAAUCAUAAAAAGAAAAGCUCUGAAGUUCACAAAGAAUCAUGAGGAUACAUUAUAGAGUUAUGUUCUAUCAUGAUUCCAUGAACUCGUUCACAACAACAGUAACAGAAAGGCCUUGGUUUUAAGUCCAAGAAAUUGAUUUGUUACACUAUGCUACUGCUAAACAUCUCCAGUUUGACUACAAACAAUAAUAUACAUCUAAGCUCAAAUGGCACCAAUUUUAACUAGCUUGAUGAAUAUAUAUAUUCAAUUAGGGAUCUCUGGUUGUAUUAAAGUUGGGAAUAAGCUAACAGACAAAAAAAAAACAGACUCCAGUGCAGUGUAUUUUGUUCCGUAUUGUGUUGAAAUUUGUGUUUUCUGUCAUUUAACUUAUCCCUAACGUUAAUAUGAUCAGGGAUCCCUGAUAGAAAACUCUCUCUCUCUCUCUCUCUCUCUCUCUCUAUAUAUAUAUAUAUAUAUAUAUAGAUAUAUGUGUGUGUGUGCGCGCGCAAUAGUGAUGUACUGCAACCUAUUUUAAUCUCCACUGCAAGUGUAUAUUACUUGAAACAAUUUACAUUAGCAAUAUCUGGUACAAGUAUCAUGACUACAGACCAUCUAAUUGCAUCAUUUAUCUAAAGAUAAAUGAUUAAAUGAAAUAUGUAACUUCACUAAACUAAGCCUGAGGUACCAGUAUAACAGCUUUUCCUUCACAGUUUGAUCAUUUGGUUAGAGCAUAUAUCUAUUUAAAGUCCUCGCAAUAAGACAAACAAGAUCACUCACAUUUUAAUACAUACACAAAGAGAGGAAGAGAGAGAGGUAUUACUUUUUGAAUGAGAUUUGUGGUUCCCUUGCCUCCUUGAGUAGGAAGAGUUUCAGCCAAGCUCACACAAGUUUCUUUCUGGCUUAGUUCUCCGCAUCCACACUUCAACUACACCUCACAAAAAAUAAACAGAUAAACAUCUAAUUCAGAGAGCAUUGCAAGAUUAAAAUUCAAUUCCAACAUUAACUAACUAGAAUCAACAAAACAAACAUAUAAUAUAAUUUGAUAAGAGUGAUAUACAAUGUUACUGAAAAUCAACUUAUAUGAACAUCCAUAAGCAUAUAUAAAUCAGAUCUGAAAAUAAUAUGAUGAGUGACAGAGAUUGAACUGAAUAUAAUCAUUAUACAUAAAAACACAAACAUACAUAACAGGAGACAACAAAUUUGAACACUUAGAAAAAGAAUCAAAACAAAAAAUCCAAAGCAAAACAAGGUGAAGAGCAUUACUAGAGAUCAUAGUCACAAUAAUCAUCUGUAUUUGAAAAUCAAGUAAAAUGAGUAACCUAAAACCAGAAACCUAAAAAUAAGUACUCGCAUUCAUUUGGUGUACGAGAGAGAGCAAUGAAAACAGAAAAGAAAAAUCCAUACCGAAAUUCAUCCAUUAUGUGAAGCAAAGCGAGCAGUGCAAGAAGUAAAUACGAAGUAAAGAAGAAUCAAGAGCGGCGAAACGGAGGUAAUACUGAGGGAGAGAAAGAGAGGGGACCUUGAAGAAGUAAGAGAAGUUAGGAUCGUCGCAGCCGCCUUGAGGUUGGAGAUUGGUGAGGUUCUCGAGAUCGGCGCUGAUCAUCAGCAUGCAAUUCACCAUUUUCGCUUAGCUUUCCAGUGCCAAAAUAUUCUCUCUCUAUUUUUUCAGCGUGCUGGAUGGACGGAUGGGUUGAGACUUGAGAGAGACAAGGUAAGUGCUCGCCGCUUCGAUCGAGGGAAUUCUAUUAUACGCGCGUGGCUUGGCGAAUGUUGCCCGCCCACGGAGAUUACAUCGAUACGAUAAUUGUUUUGAACGACAUGUCGUAUUUUUCUUGGAUGGUAAACAGACAAGACGUUUAUACUUGGUGAAAAUGCUACAAUUUUGUAAUCGGGAUUUGUAUGACCAACUAGGGUCGCAUAAAGUCAGUAGAGUUUGGUAUACAUGUACAAAUAAUUUGUUACGUGCUUUGUAUCUAAGCUGGAGAUAGUAUUAUGAUUUUAAAAAAAUUUUCAAACGAAAAAUUUUAACGAAAUCUUUCAAUUUUUUAUUUCAUUGUAUUUAACUCUAUAUAUUUCUCUAUUCGUAGAGUACAUUGAAUGUACAAAAAUAGUUAUAACAUAAUUCUUAUUAUUUGUAUUAACAGUUACUCUAUAAACAAUGUUGUUGUGAAGCUGUUAGUUUAAUUAUGUUACUAGUAUGCUGACGUGGCGAGCUGAGCUGGAGUGUGGGCCUGCUGUUAGUUAGAAGCCGUUAUUAUUAACGGUUGAUUCCAAAAACAGAGGCAUGCAUAUAUAAGGGUUGGUUUGUGGCAUAGUUAGCGUGUGAUUUUAAGGGUGAUAGAGUGAGAGAUAAUAAAUUCUGUAAACUAAAGAUUUAAUCUCUGCACUCCAUAGAUUCUUUGUGUAAUCGUCUCCAUUAAUAAAGCUUAAGCCUUCUGCUGGUUUUUCAGCCGUUGAUGUAGGUACCUUGAUACUGAACCACGUAAACUCUUUCUCUGUGCUUGCUUCUUGGUUCUUGGUUCUUGUUGAAUCUUACUGUUGUUAUUUGUUUCUAAUUCUAGUUCUUGGUUGUUCUGAGUUGAUCCUAUUAUGUUAACUAGUUCAAGGUGGUUGCAUUUGUCGAUUAAGCAUUAACAAACUGGUAUCAGAGCUUGGUUCAUUGAGGCUGUUCUUGAUCAAAAUGACGACCACCAGAUUUGAUCUCGAAAGGUUUAAUGGUGAUAACGACUUCUACGUCUGGAGUCUUAAGAUGAGAGCAAUUCUCAUCCAGUAAGGGCUUGAUAGUGCUCUUGAUGAUGAAGAUGAAGAUCCAAAGGGCAAGAAAGAACAUGCAUAGGGCUCAUCAAUAUUAGGAGGAGAUCAGAAAACCAUUAAUAACAAGGCUCACAGCACCAUUAUCCUACAUCUCUCUAAUGAAGUGCUGAGAGAGGUUGCAAAAGAGAAGACUACAUCAGGAUUAUGGUCAAAGUUGGAAGACUUAUAUUUGAAGAAGUCAGUGGCCAAGAGAUUAUAUAUGAAGAGGAGACUGUACACCUUCUCCAUGAAAGAGGGAGUAGCUAUAAAUGAUCAUUUGGAUGAAUUCAAUAAGCUAAUCUUGGAUCUUGAAAAUGUAAACAUCGAUUUGGAAGAUGAAGAUAGGGCACUAAUUUUGCUAAGCUCCCUGCCUGAUUCAUUUGAGCAUUUUGUUGAUACUCUUUUAUAUGGAAGGCAGACUCUCAUGUUAAAGGAUGUUAAAAGUGCCUUGGAAUCAAAAGAUUUGAAGAAGAAAUCUAAUGGGAAAGAUCAAAGCUAUGGGGAAGGAUUAACAGUCAAGUCAAAGGCAAAUAAAAAAAACAGCAAAGAAAAGAAAAAUACCAACCAGAAAGAUAAAAUAGAGAAAAAGAAAAAUAAGAAGAAAUGUUAUUUUUGUCAAAAAGAAGGGCACUAUAUGAAGGAUUGUUUUGAGAAGAAAAAGCUUGAGAAGCUUCAAAAGGAAUCAAAUAGGAAGGUUGCCCUUGUGUCAGAGGAUGAAGGAGACUCAGAGGGUGCUGAUGUUCUAGUAACAGUAGAAAAGCAUCAAAUUGGUGAGUGGAUACUUGACUUUGGGUGCUCUUUCCAUAUGUGCCCAAAUAAGCAUUUCUUUAAGACAUUUAGAAGUAUUGAGGGUGGUAAAGUGUUGUUGGAAAUGACUUAGCUUGUAAAGUUGCUGGAAUUGGAACCAUUGAUAUAAGGGAAAUUAUCAAUCAUAUACCCUUAAAUGACAUCCAUAUCAAACGUGUGUGAACACUUUUCAAGUGUAUCACUCGUAUACCAUAAGUUGACAAAACACUUAUGUCGUCCACCAAUUUGUUAACUUCCGUUAGAAAGUUAACAGAAUUGUGACAAAUUGACUAUUUUGCCCUUGAAACUCAAAAUGAGGUAAAAAUAUAAAUUUACCCAAAAAAUUAACGUAAAUUUUCAAUACACAAUUUUUUUUUUAAUUUUUUUUAUUAACAAUACAUUUUUUUGAUUAAAAAAAUGAAUUAUUAAUGGUACAUAAUAUUAACAAUUAUCCAUAAAAAUAUCCAUAUUAUACCAUAAAAAAUUAUUAACAAUAUAUUAUUUACAAUUAUAUAUAUUAUACCAUAAAAUUUUUUAGUUGGAGCUUGGAAGAGUAGAUCUUCAAAAAUUUAGGUUAAAUUUUGGAGGAGUAGAUUCGGUUGUAAAGUAAUUUUUUUAGUAAUUAUUAAUAAUUAUCCGAUAAAUGGGAUGACAUGUCGUUUUUUUUAAUCAAAGUUUCAUCAAUUUUAAAAGACUAAAUUACCCUUAUGAUGUCAGCGCUUGCAAACGGAAGUUAACGGAUUGGUGGACGGCAUAAGUGUUUUGCCAACUUAGGGUAUACGAGUGAUACACUUGAAAAGUGUUCACAUACGUUUGAUACGAGUGUCAUUUAAAGGUAUAUGGUUGAUAAUUUCCAUUGAUAUAAAAAUAUUUGAUGGUGAAAUUAGAAACUUAGAUCAAGUAAGAUAUGUACCAAAACUUAAAAGAAACCUUAUAUCACUAGGCAUGUUUGAUCAAAUUGGCUGUAGUAUUAGAGCUGAAAAUGGUGAGAUUCAUGUGAUGAAAAAUGGUACUACCAUCAUGAAAUGAGUUAGAAAGAAUGGCUUUUAUGCUCUAGUAGGGUCUUGUCUCUUACCUGGAAUUACAACCACUAUGAGUAAUGAUAAAACCAAGCUGUGGCACAUAAGGCUAGCACACAUAAGUGAGAGAGGGUUAAAAGAAUUAGAGAAACAAGGUUUGUUUGGUGAAGACCACAUAUCCUCAUUAGAAUUAUGUGAAAAAUGUGUUUUUGGUAAAGCUACAAUGCAAAAAUUCAAUACAGGAAGAAAAGAAAUAAAACAGACCUUGGACUACAUUCAUUCAUACCUAUAGGGACCAUCACAUGUUCCCUCUCAUGGUGGAGCUAGGUACUUCAUAACCUUCAUUAAUGACUACUUAAGGAAUGUUUGGAUUUAUAUGUCAAAAUAGAAGAGUGAGGCUCUGAAGAAGUUCAAAGAAUGGUUAACACUUGUAGAAAAUCAGACUGGUAAGAAGAUAAAAAGGCUAAGAACAGACAAUGGACUGGAGUACUGCAGCAAUGAAUUUGAUGAAUUUUGUAAGAGCAAGGGCAUAGCAAGGCACAGAACAGUAAGGCACACCCCACAGCAGAAUGACCUUGCCGAAAGGAUGAAUAAAACCUUACUUGAGAAAGUAAGGUGUAUGAUGUUCAAUACAAACCUAUCUAAGCAUUUCUAGGCUGAGGCAGUUACAACAGCAGCUUAUCUAGUGAAUAAAAACCCUUCAUCAGCCUUAAACUUCAGAACUCCACAAGAAGCUUGGUCAGGAAAACCACUAGAUCUUACUAACCUCAAAAUCUUUGGCUGCAAUGCAUAUGCUCAUGUUAGUUAGGGCAAAUUAGAGCCAAGAGCAUUGAAAUGAUACUUUAUAGGAUAUCCAAAAGGCACCAAAGGGCAUAAGAUCUGGUGCAUACAUGACAAGCCCUCAAGAACUCUAAUCAAUAGGGAUGUGGUGUUUGAUGAAGACUCAAUGCUGCUGUCUAAAGUAGAAAAUGAGGUAAUGUCUACUGGUUCAUAUAGAAAACAAGAUGCUGAGUUGAAGGUGGAGCAUGUUGAUUGCUAUCAACCUGCAGAAAUGACUCUAGAGAAAUCUGACAAGGAGCUCAAAUCCUAUGAGCUUAACAAUUAUCAGCUUGCAAGGGAUAAAGAGAGGAGAACAAUAAAAAUGCCUAAGAAAUAUGGCAUUGCUGACCUUAUCUCAUAUGCACGGAGUGUUACUGAAGAACUAAGUGGUGAAGAACCUAUGAGCUAUAAGGAAGCCAUGUGUAGAAGAGAUAAAGCUAAAUGGCUUGCUGCAAUGAAAGAAGAAUUAGCCUCUCUUAAGAAAAACAACACCUGGAUCUUGGUAGAAAAACCCUUCAAUAAAAGACUAGUAGGCUAUAAAUGGAUUUAUAAGCUCAAGGAUGGAGAGUCUGCUGAUAAACAACCCAGGUACAAGGCAAGACUGGUAGCUAAAGGCUUCACACAGAAAGAAGGAGUAGAUUUUAAUGAAGUGUUCUCACCAGUGGUAAAAAACAGCUCCAUAAGGUUGUUGCUUGCUGUUACUACUUUUCUUGACCUGGAGUUAGACCAAAUGGAUGUAAGAACUGCCUUUUUACAUGGUAACCUUGAUGAAGAAAUCUUUGUGACACAACCUGAGGGUUUCAUAGAAGAAGGGACUGAAGAUAUGAUGUGUUUACUUAAGAAAAGUUUAUAUGGCUUAAAGCAGUCUCUAAGGCAGUGGUAUUUGAGAUUUGAUUAGUUUAUGAGCAGCCGUGGUUACAGCAGAAGUCAGUAUGACACUUGUGUGUACUACAGAAGCUUGACUCAUGACAGCUACAUCUACUUACUUCUCUAUGUGGAUGACAUGCUCAUUGGAUGCAACCAGAGGGAAGCCAUAGAGGAACUCAAAAUGCAGCUCAGCACUGAGUUUGAAAUGAAAGAUUUAGGUGCUGCAACGAAAAUUCUGGGUAUGCAGAUUGUAAGAGACAGACCAGCAAGAACUUUGUUCUUUACUCAGGCUGGUUAUGUAAGGAGAGUGCUCAAUAGGUUCAUCGUGGACAGUGCUAAACCUGUGUUGACACAUCUGUCAACUCAUUUUAAGCUCUCUAAGCUCUAUGAGCCAACAACUGAUGUAGACAUAGAAUAUAUAAAGAAUAUUCUCUAUUCAAAUGCAGUGGGGAGUGUUAUGUAUGCUAUAGUCUGUUCCAGGCAGGGGUGUCAAAAACCCCGCCCGGACCGGAUCUGACCUGAACCCGGCCAAUCCGGUCUGGGAAAAAUCCGGACCGCAUAUACUGAAAAAGUGGAUCCGGGUUUCAGAAUUUAAAACCCGGACAUUUCCGGACAUGGUCCGGGUUCAGCACUAAAAACCCAAAACCCGAACCCGGACCCGUUUUCCGAAUAAACUUAAAAAAAAAAACUAAAACUAGUUACCCAAACCCAAAUCGCAAAACACCUAAAUCCGAAAUCCCUAAUUCCCCAAAUCGCAAAACACCCAAACCCAAAGGCAUAAGCAGCGAUGCUACCACCGUCACCGUUGGCUAGCACCCACCGUCAGUCCGUCACCGUCGCCCCUCGGCAGUCGGCAGUCGGUAGUCGGCAUCAUCUCUUCUCGUUUGGCAUUUACUGACUCGGUUUUGCUCGAUUUUGCUCGGUUGUGGCUGUGACGGGAGUUGUUCGUGCAGCGGCAGCAGCGCAGUGCAGCCCCCUCCGGCGCCGUCAGCGUCAGCGUCUGCGCCACCGUCUCCAACUCUCCAUUGCCACUUUGUCAUCCACCAUCAGUCCAUCACUCUGCCAUCACAGCCACCACUACCAGCCGCAGGUAUUGAUUUUUUUCCUUCCAUAUUUUGUCUUCCUAGUUGCAUUUUUGCCAAUUGCUUCUCCAUUGGUGUUGGUUGUUGCUAUUCGUGUUUAUCUUCGGCCAAUUUUGUGCAUUUUGACCGUAGAAUAUGAGGAAAAUAUGGCCAAUUUUGUGAGGGAUCCUUAUUGCCUGCUCGUAUAAUGACAAUGUUGAUAAGCAGAGAAAAUAAUAAUCACGGGAAAAGCAAUUUUGUGCAUGGUUGCUGACUUAUAGUGUGAGCCUGUGAUUACUGUAACUGUUGCUCUUUUUUUUCGGCCAAAUCCUUUUGCCUAUUUUAAUUUUAUGUUGCUGAUUUACUGUGAGCCUAUUAGUUAUGUAAUCUGUGAGCCUGUUAGUUAUGUAAUGAUAAGUUUAUUCGUGUUUAUCUUCGACCAAUUUUGUGCAUGGUUGCCGACUUGCUGUGAGCCUGUGAUUACUGUAACUGUUGCUCUUUAAAUCAAUUCUUCGAGUGCUCCAGAUUUAUCUCGUAAUGUUGAAGAUAAAAUUGAUAAUGAGGUUGAGGAAAUUUCAGUGUCAACCGUGAAUGAUAAGAAAAGUAAGGAAGAAACUAGAAAAAAGAAGAAAGUCU
This 22186-nucleotide long non-coding RNA is filed under the name Citrus sinensis (sweet orange). RNAcentral describes it as "long non-coding RNA (CSIN_LNC001830)". Lineage: Eukaryota; Viridiplantae; Streptophyta; Magnoliopsida; Sapindales; Rutaceae. The record is from RNAcentral.